GCGACAUUUCCGGGCUGGGAGAAGCCGAAGCCCGUAACCUCCAGUUCCCCGCAGCUUGAGGCCACCAGCGCCUGGAGAUUUUCAAACACACUCAAAGAGCUGGGAGGAGCCUGGCGGGGCCACGAAGGAGGGCAGUACUGACUCAUCACGAACCUCCAGGGCCCGGAGCCAGGGCGGCCUGGGCCCAGAGCCUCAGUCCCCUGCAGCCAGCCAAAAGAAGGAAGCAACCCAGGAACCCAUCAGCACACGGCGGAUAAAGGAAAUGUAAUAUACAUAUCAUGGAGUAUCGGCCUUCAAAAGGACUGAGAUUUUGACAUGGAGAGUUCUUAAAGACAUUAUGCUAAGUGAAAUAUGCUAAUGUGAAGGGUUACAGGAACUACUCCAAGGAGAUGCUGGGAAGUAGCCUGGGAAUGGCCAUCCCUCUCCCAUCAUUUCUCUUCCCUCAAUCCUGCUUCAGCUUCUGUCAGCCUGUGAAGGUCCUGCAGAGUGAGGUUAAGAUCGCACCUGACUGACCAUCUCAAAAAAGAACCAGAACAAUCUCCUUGUGCUUUCCCUGAGCUGGUGAAGCUGGUAAAAAUCACUGAAAAUGAGGAAAGUAAAUUAACACAAGGAAGAAGCAGGACAAGGGGGAUUCUGUCCUCCUGACUACUGAGUUAACUGCAAUGAAAACAAAGUACAAAGGACUGCUAGUUCUGUGCAUAUAUUUACAUAGAAAUGUGCAAUUUUUUUUAAAAGGGGCCUUCCUGGUGUUUCUUUACUUAUGGGUUUAAUUUUUUAUCUCCUCAAUGUCCACCAGGAGGGCUCUGUUAAUAUUUACGUCGUGGGCCUUCCUGAGGAUGAGUUCAUUUCAGUCAUUGCUAAUCAACAGCCUUACUAUGAUGUCUUCUUUAUCCUGUAACAUUCCUAUUAUCCCUAACUCUUCAAAAAUACUCUUAGGAUAUUUUAGCAAGUGCCCUCUUCACCUUUUAAAGAGUUGUCU
Molecule: long non-coding RNA, 979 nt
Filed under: Heterocephalus glaber (naked mole-rat)
Lineage: Eukaryota; Metazoa; Chordata; Mammalia; Rodentia; Bathyergidae
Description: lncRNA (ENSHGLG00100049684.1)
Source: RNAcentral